Molecule: long non-coding RNA, 531 nt
Organism: Uranotaenia lowii
Lineage: Eukaryota; Metazoa; Arthropoda; Insecta; Diptera; Culicidae
Exons: 3
Source: RefSeq, a predicted model, not a curated record
ACCUGCAAUCGAAACCUGGUUAGAAUGUCGACUAAGGUAACUCCCGGCGAAUCAUCGACCCCUCCGGAAGAAAAGGCGGCGCGAUUUUGGAGUAAAAUUCAUUAAAAUUUGCCGGGAGCAAUCAAAUCAAGUACUACUGGAACCGUGCCGCUAGGGUCGAUCGAGUGGAGGAGGAAAUGGACAAAGAAAAAUUCCACUACCAUACAAUUCUCGAAAUUUGUCGCUUAAGGGAGAAACAUCGCAACUUUAUCAGAUGCUGUCGAGCAAAAAGAAGCCGUUCAGAUUGGUCCACAAGAAGACUUUUUCUGAUACCAAUCUCCGAUCGAAGUACAACCAAACCAUUGAACGCCUUAGAAAAGUUUCAACAUAGCAGCAUAAAUGCCAAUAGAUCUGGGUAGGAUCUGCGCCACUCGUGGUGGUCGACAACCCAUUUUUUGGCAUUGGAUUGGCAUUUUACGUGCCGUAUCUGUUGGAUUAUUCGAAACACGAUGAUGCUGUGGUUCUAAACUGAUGUCGAUGACUCACUUCUCG